GCUUCAUUGUCAAAAGAGAAACUACUUUUUUUGGCUGCUCUCUCUCUCUAGCUGGAGAAGUGAAAAAAGGAAGCUUUUGCUUAGUAAUUAAUGGUUCGAGUUCUGACACAUAAAGAGAAAGAAAGGAGUUUCUGCUGGGAAGGAGCUGAGUGUUUUGAAUUUCAUUGGAGAACUGGAUAGCAAUUAAUGAUGGAUGAGUAUAUUGAUCUUUAUUUCCCUUCUGCAUCAUGGGCAGAUGGAGAUUUUAAGGAAAAAUCAUCUUGGGGCUACAGUGAAACUGGUCAACUGAAUUUGCUGCUUCCUGCCUCAAUUAGACUAUAUGAAAAUGACAAAGGAAACCCACCCUUAAGUAUGAUUAGUUCAAAACCAAGCGUGGAGUGUAUACACACUCCAGAUAAGUCACCACUCACUCUUGGUAGUGAGUCAAAUUAUGCUGUUGACAAAUGUCUAAUUUCUGGGAACGCUCAAUUGCAAAAGGUCAGUCAAAACUGCAGGGGCAAAGUCUCCCCAACAAUGAAUGGCAGCUUAAAAGUUGGAAGUGUCGGCGUGCAAUAUGACAAAUCUCUUCCCACACUGGCGUCAUUGAAUCUUAGUUAUCCAAAGCAGCUUCCAGUGGUUGAUGAAUUAACAUCGUCUCCUUCCCUUACUGAGGUUUCCCUUACUGAGGCAGGCAAUGUUGGACACGAUGGCCUUGACAGUGAACAAUUUGAGUAUCACAGGUCCAUCAAAGAUAUGCAUAAUCUAUCAAUGGCAAAAGUGUGGCCUUCAGCAUCACAUGAGGAUGUUUCUUCUAUAUCUGCUCUGAUGGGACAAGACAUGGUGCAGCAAUUUGGUGUUCAAGAAGGAAAUUUGGAUGACGAAAGUGACUUUAUGAGGAAGAGGCAUGUUAGCAUGGAUCAAAUUCUGCAACUUGAUAAGUUGUCUACUACAGUCACCACAAAGGAUAAGGAAGAUUUGCAAAGUUAUCCAUUCUCUUCUUUCACAGCUGGGCCAAAUAUAACAAUGGCGACAAAUGAAGCAUUAUUUCUUUCACAGGUGCUAGUUAUACUUAAGUUUUCUCUUGCUUUUCCAUAGACUCAUCACUUGUCAAUUAACAAAUGUGACUGCCAGUCCUAUCAGCUGCUAGAAAUGAAUGAAGGGAAUCCCAUUAAGCUUUAUACAAACCAAGCUUACAUUUUCAAUUGCAGACUACAUCAGCUGCUCCUGCUUGUGACAGAACUGUAAAGCCUCGUGUAAGGGCACGCCGUGGCCAGGCUACUGAUCCACACAGUAUAGCUGAAAGGGUUAGUCUUUCUCAUAGGUUCUUGUAAUUAAAAGUAGUUUAUUAAUUUGUUAUCUUCAAGCAUGGGCUUCACAAUGUUGGACCUUGAGGUUGACAUGUCACAAGCAAUUGAAUUUGCUGGUAGUUUUUCAGACACAAAUGUUCAUAAUUUUUGUCUUAACAACAUCUAACUGCUCAGCUUCGGAGGGAAAAAAUUGCUGAAAGGAUGAAGAAUCUGCAAGAACUUGUUCCUAAUUCUAGCAAGAUUGAUAAGGCAUCUAUGCUUGACGAGAUCAUAGAGUAUGUCAAAUUUCUUCAGCUCCAAGUCAAGGUACUUAGCAUGAGCAGAGUAGGAGCAGCAGGAGCAAUCAUUCCUCUCAUCACAGAUGUUCAAGUUGAGGGUUCUAACAGUCUGUCACUCGCACCAUCAGCUGGUUUGGGAAUUGAUAUUUCUCCAUCUCCAGACCAAGUUGCCUUUGAGCAAGAAGUGCUUAAGCUCAUGGAAUCCAAUUUGACUACUGCCAUUCAAUAUCUUCAAAGCAAAGGCCUCUGCCUCAUGCCCAUCGAUUUAGCUACUGCCAUCUCCAGGGGAAAGGCACCGUUAUCAUGCAAUGGAUCUGAAGAGGAACAGAAAAUUAGCUUUGCCAAUGAUCUUGUUCAUAGCAACAGCAUCAGCCGCAGUAGAAACUGCAGCUUUUCUGGCACCGAGACCCAUCAAGUGUCAAACGAUGACAAUAUUAUGACCGAGCAGCUCAGCAAAGGCAACAUUUCCAAUGGGUGCAAUGGGAUGGUCAAACGAGAGAAGGCAAAGAAUAAUUUUCUCAGAUAAUCAAACUCUAAAUCAGUACUUCAAUAAUCUAAUCAUGAAUCAAAUUUUGAAGCUGAAACUAUUUAGAUGAGAAAUUCUAAAAUUUAAUAAAGCUUUUGCAG
This 2191-nucleotide unclassified non-coding RNA is filed under the name Hevea brasiliensis (rubber tree). The record is from RNAcentral. Lineage: Eukaryota; Viridiplantae; Streptophyta; Magnoliopsida; Malpighiales; Euphorbiaceae.